This 300-nucleotide long non-coding RNA is filed under the name Brassica rapa (field mustard). RNAcentral's name for it is "long non-coding RNA (BRAP_LNC008328)". The record is from RNAcentral. Lineage: Eukaryota; Viridiplantae; Streptophyta; Magnoliopsida; Brassicales; Brassicaceae.
CAGGAGAUAGCCAAAACCGUGGGCCUUGGUUCAAGGCAAGGAAAUCAAGAUAAACCAGCUUGUUGGUUUAAUUUAAUUACUUUGUAAGGGGUUUGGUUAUUGGGCUUUCAUUUAAUUUAAACCAAAGACAAUUAGGAUUUUAAAAUAAACCAAUUUCAAUUGGAUUAGGAUUAGAAUUAGAAUUAAACCAUCUUGGUUUACUUCUAGGGUUUUCGAUUUCCUUUAAGAACAUGGGGGACGUAGUUUUGUUUUCUUAACUUUCAAUCUAAGAAUUAUUCAGUCAACUUUGUUGUCUUGUCU